This 788-nucleotide ribosomal RNA is filed under the name uncultured archaeon. RNAcentral describes it as "bacterial SSU rRNA". It matches the Rfam family "Archaeal small subunit ribosomal RNA", at positions 85 to 876 of the family's 1478-position model. The record is from RNAcentral.
ACUGCUCAGUAACACGUGGUCAACAUACCCAGAGGACGUGGAUAACCUCGGGAAACUGAGGAUAAACCGCGAUAGACCAUAAUGUCUGGAAUGAUUUAUGGUUCAAAUCUAUAUGGCCUCUGGAUUGGACUGCGGCCGAUCAGGCUGUUGGUGAGGUAAUGGCCCACCAAACCUGAAACCGGUACGGGCUCUGAGAGGAGAAGCCCGGAGAUGGGCACUGAGACAAGGGCCCAGGCCCUAUGGGGCGCAGCAGGCGCGAAACCUUUGCAAUAGGCGAAAGCCUGACAAGGUUACUCUGAGUGAUCUCCGCUAAGGAAAUCUUUUGACACCUCUAAAAAUGGUGUAGAAUAAGGGGUGGGCAAGCCUGGUGUCAGCCGCCGCGGUAAUACCAGCACCCCGAGUGGUCGGGACGAUUAUUGGGCCUAAAGCAUCCGUAGCCGGUUCUUUAAGUCCUCCGUUAAAUCCACCUGCUUAACAGAUGGGCUGCGGAGGAUACUAUAGAGCUAGGAGGCGGGAGAGGCAAGCGGUACUCAGUGGGUAGGGGUAAAAUCCGUUGAUCCAUUGAAGACCACCAGUGGCGAAGGCGGCUUGCCAGAACGCGCUCGACGGUGAGGGAUGAAAGCUGGGGGAGCAAACCGGAUUAGAUACCCGGGUAGUCCCAGCUGUAAACGAUGCAGACUCGGUGAUGAACAGGCUUCGUGCCUGUUCAGUGCCGCAGGGAAGCCGUUAAGUCUGCCGCCUGGGGAGUACGGUCGCAAGACUGAAACUUAAAGGAAUUGGCGGGGGAG